This 253-nucleotide ribosomal RNA is filed under the name uncultured bacterium. RNAcentral describes it as "partial 16S ribosomal RNA". It matches the Rfam family "Bacterial small subunit ribosomal RNA", at positions 524 to 776 of the family's 1533-position model. The record is from RNAcentral.
UACGUAGGGACCGAGCGUUGUCCGGAAUCAUUGGGCGUAAAGAGCGUGUAGGCGGCCCCUUAAGUCCUGCGUGAAAUCCUGCGGCUCAACCGCAGACGGUCGUGGGAAACUGGAGGGCUAGAGUGCGGGAGAGGAGAGUGGAAUUCCCGGUGUAGCGGUGAAAUGCGCAGAUAUCAGGAAGAACACCUAUGGCGAAGGCAGCACUCUGGGACGGUACUGACGCUGAGACGCGAAAGCGUGGGGAGCGAACAGG